Molecule: ribosomal RNA, 331 nt
Filed under: uncultured Sandonidae
Lineage: Eukaryota; Cercozoa; Glissomonadida; Viridiraptoridae
Description: SSU rRNA
Rfam family: Eukaryotic small subunit ribosomal RNA (bases 121-331)
Source: RNAcentral
GAUUUCUGGCUUGUCAACAUUUAGCCGGCCACGGUUUCGUGUGUCAGUGCUACGAUGUUCUGGCCAUCCUUCCAAUCGCUGUUCGGUCGCGUCUUCAUUGAUGCGGCUCGUCGACAGUAUUGGAUCUUUUACUUUGAAAAAAUUAGAGUGUUUCAAGCAGGCUUUAUGCUAUGAAUACAUUAGCAUGGAAUAAUAAUUUAGGACUUCGGUUCUAUUUUGUUGGUUUCUAGGACUGAAGUAAUGAUUGAUAGGGAUAGUUGGGGGUGCUAGUAUUCAGCGGCCAGAGGUGAAAUUCUCGGAUUCGCUGAAGACUAACUUAUGCGAAAGCAUU